Molecule: ribosomal RNA, 728 nt
Filed under: uncultured Ascomycota
Lineage: Eukaryota; Fungi; Ascomycota
Description: SSU rRNA
Rfam family: Eukaryotic small subunit ribosomal RNA
Source: RNAcentral
ACGGCUACCACAUCCAAGGAAGGCAGCAGGCGCGCAAAUUACCCAAUUCCGAUACGGAGAGGUAGUGACAAUAAAUACUGAUACAGGGCUCUUUUGGGUCUUGUAAUUGGAAUGAGUACAAUUUAAACCUCUUAACGAGGAACAAUUGGAGGGCAAGUCUGGUGCCAGCAGCCGCGGUAAUUCCAGCUCCAAUAGCGUAUAUUAAAGUUGUUGCAGUUAAAAAGCUCGUAGUUGAACCUUUGGCCUGGCUGGCAGGUCCGCCUCACCGCGUGCACUUGUCCGGCCGGGCCUUUUCUUUGGAGAACCGCAUGCCCUUCACUGGGUGUGUUGGGACCAGGGCUUUUACUUUGAAAAAAUUAGAGUGUUCAAAGCAGGCCUUUGCUGAAUACGUUAGCAUGGAAUAAUAGAAUAGGACGUGCGGUCCUAUUUUGUUGGUUUCUAGGACCGCCGUAAUGAUUAAUAGGGACAGUCGGGGGCAUCAGUAUUCAUUGUCAAGGUGAAAUUUUGGAUUUAUUGAAGACUAACUACUGCGAAAGCAUUUGCCAAGGAUGUUUUCAUUAAUCAAGUGAACGAAAGUUAGGGGAUCGAAGACGAUCAGAUACCGUCGUAGUCUUAACCAUAAACUAUGCCGACUAGGGAUCGGGCGGUGUUUCUAUUGUGACCCGCUCGGCACCUUACGAGAAAUCAAAGUGUUUGGGUCUGGGGGGAGUAUGGUCGCAAGGCUGAAA